AUAAAACGCAAUUUCAGACUCGGCUACGCAGAGAAACAAAGCGAGAGUCGGAGGGAAAGAAAGAGGGAGGAAGACGAAGAACAACAAGAAGCUGCGCCUGCAGAACUCCAUUUAAGAUUUGGUCCUCUCUUCCUCUCCACUCUCUCAACCAAAUUUAAAAAAAAAGAAACGAAGUUAAAUAUUUUUGGGUUUCCCUCUUUGACAUCUUAGUUUUGCAAUAAUUGACCAAUCACCCUCUAAUUUUGGUUUUCUUUUCUUUUAUAUCACCACUUUCCUCCCAUGAUUUCAUCAUUUAGCAUUUGAGCUCCUUUUGUUUUCCCUUGUUAGAUCUAAAAGAUUUUCAACCACCCACUCGCCUGGCCGACCGACCAGAUCCGCCGUCGGUUAAUUCAAAUCUAUGGAUGAUUUUCCUGGUCUAUUGGCCCAGGACUUCGGUUUCAAACCCCAGGGUAAAUCCGCCCCUAUGGCUUCAUCUCGUAAUUCCAACACUAACACCUUCUCCUCUGUCAAUUUCGGCCUCGGAUCCGCUGCUCCUGCUUCUCACUAUCGAUCUUCCUCUGCCACCCUCGAUUCUGCUCCUAUUUUCGAUGAUCACGGUCACGAUCGUGGCGGCGGCGGGAGUGAUGGUCUCUUGUUCAACGACGUCUUUGGGGGCCCGCCUAAGUAUGCGGAAUCGCGUGGCGGCGGUGAUGGAGGAAUUAAAUCGUCGUCUUCUGCAUUUGAUUAUGACUCCAUUUUCAAGGACCAGAAUGCGAAAUCCGGGUCUUUGCCGGUUUUUGAUAAGCCAGUUUAUGAUGAUGAUAUUUUCGAUGGAUUGCCUGGCCUGAAGAGUUCGUCUGUGGGUCCUCAAUCGGCUAAUUUUGAUGAUGUGUUUUCUUCGAUCGGCACUGCUUCUUCGACCAAGCGUAGGGCGCAAAACAACAGCUCGCCAUUUGAUGAUCUGUUGGGGAAUUUAGGUAAAAAGGAGAACGAAUCGAGGAGAGAGACUCCCAAAAUGGAGAAGGAUUCAGCUGCUUUUGAUGAUUUGCUUCCUGGUUUUGGUCGCAGUAGCUCCCCUAGUAUUAGCAGGUUAACUUCAGAGUCUAGUCGGUCCCAGAAACCAUCUGCAAAUUCGGCCAGGAAAGCCUCCAUUAUGAUGGAUGACCCUUUUGUGGUGUUAGAGUCAACUUCAACUCCUGCAGCUUCAUCCUCGAGGUUGUAUGUAGACCCUUUGGAAGAAAUUAGUAAAUUCAGUAGCUCUGGAAACACAAAGGUUGAUAAUUCAUCUGUAAAUAGGGGAGUAUUUGAUGAUGUAGACUCCUUUGAUAGCCUUGGAAAACCUGUACCUCCAGUUUCACCUGUAGUCAACAUGAGAGGAAAAGAUAGGAGCCCUCUUAGAACUGGACCAAGCAUGGGUGGCACUUAUUCACCUGCUAGCGAAGAUCCAGUUGACGAAUAUCCUGUGGACGAAGCUGAAGGCCACUCACAGAAGAAGAUGUCUAAUGAUGAUUUCCAUGAAUCACAUGAAACCUUGUUCGAUGUGCCUCGUGUUGGUCAAAAUGUCUCAUCACCUUCAUAUGUGAAUGGCAGUUCUAAUGGGGUAAAUUCACCUCCGAGAUAUGAAGAUAUUUCAGAAUCACCUGAUGAUGUGUGGCUUACUGUAUCUGAAGUUCCUCUUUUUACGCAACCAACAAAUGCUCCACCUCCUUCAAGACCCCCACCUCCUAGACCACCUCGGAUUUCAAAGGUAGAGACAGGUUCUUUUUCAUCAACAAACUCAAGAAUGAAGGUUAAUGAAUAUUCUACUUCAUACUCUCAGAGCCCCAGGUCAGCUCAUGCAACAAGGAGCUCAGUGGCAUCUCAAAUAGAUGAACUUGAAGAUUUUGCAAUGGGUAGUACCCGAAGCAAUGUUAGUGAACAUGCUGAUGUUCUUUAUGGAGAAGAUGUGGAUGCAAAUGCAUCUUCUGCUGCAGCAUCUGCUGCUGCCAUGAAGGAGGCCAUGGAUAAAGCAGAGGCUAAAUUCAGGCAGAUGAGAGAGAGGGAGUAUCUAAAGGCUGCUAGAAGUAGAGAAACUAGUCAAGUAGAUAAAGACAUGCAAGAAGCUCAGCAGAGAGAAUUAAAAGAAAGGCAAGAGAGGCAACAGAGGGAAAGGGAGGAGGAAGAGAGAGAACAAAGGAGAGU
Molecule: unclassified non-coding RNA, 2160 nt
Filed under: Hevea brasiliensis (rubber tree)
Lineage: Eukaryota; Viridiplantae; Streptophyta; Magnoliopsida; Malpighiales; Euphorbiaceae
Source: RNAcentral